UGAGGAAUAUUGGUCAAUGGGCGGGAGCCUGAACCAGCCAAGUCGCGUGAGGGAAGACGGUCCUAUGGAUUGUAAACCUCUUUUGUCGGGGAGCAAAAGGGCCUCGUGAGGCCUUAAAUGAGAGUACCCGAAGAAAAAGCAUCGGCUAACUCCGUGCCAGCAGCCGCGGUAAUACGGAGGAUGCGAGCGUUAUCCGGAUUUAUUGGGUUUAAAGGGUGCGUAGGCGGACUGGAAAGUCAGCGGUAAAAUCGAGAGGCUCAACCUCUUUCCGCCGUUGAAACUGUCGGUCUUGAGUGGGCGAGA
This 303-nucleotide ribosomal RNA is filed under the name uncultured bacterium. Its description in RNAcentral is "bacterial SSU rRNA". It matches the Rfam family "Bacterial small subunit ribosomal RNA", at positions 355 to 655 of the family's 1533-position model. The record is from RNAcentral.